UACGUAGGGAGCGAGCGUUGUCCGGAUUUACUGGGUGUAAAGGGUGCGUAGGCGGCCCUGCAAGUCGGGUGUGAAAACCGUCGGCUCAACUGACGGAUUGCACUCGAAACUGCGGGGCUUGAGUGGAGCAGAGGCAGGCGGAAUUCCCGGUGUAGCGGUGAAAUGCGUAGAGAUCGGGAGGAACACCAGUGGCGAAGGCGGCCUGCUGGGCUUUAACUGACGCUGAGGCACGAAAGCAUGGGUAGCAAACAGGAUUAGAUACC
RNAcentral lists this ribosomal RNA (263 nucleotides) under uncultured bacterium. Its description in RNAcentral is "partial 16S ribosomal RNA". It matches the Rfam family "Bacterial small subunit ribosomal RNA", at positions 524 to 786 of the family's 1533-position model. The record is from RNAcentral.